AAUAGCUAGUCCAAUAAAAGACUACUAAUUUCGACUUAGUCAAUCGUGAUUAAACCUCACGGCUAUUAA
This 69-nucleotide transfer RNA is filed under the name Testudo graeca. Its description in RNAcentral is "tRNA-Arg". Lineage: Eukaryota; Metazoa; Chordata; Testudines; Testudinidae. The record is from RNAcentral.